AAGGUUCGUCCGCCCUGGGUUAGUCGGGACCUAAGCUGAGGCCGAAAGGCGUAGGUGAUGGACAACAGGUUGAUAUUCCUGUACUACCGAUAACCGUUUGAGAGAUGGGAUGACACAGUAGGAUAAGCUAAGCACACUGUUGGUUAUGUGUGCCCAAGCAUUGAGGCAGUCAAAGUAGGUAAAUCCGCUUUGAUAAUGCUGGGAUGUGAUGGGGAGCGAAAUUUAGUAGCGAAGUAGCUGAUUUCACACUGUCAAGAAAAGUCUCUAUCGAGGUUAAAGGUACCCG
This 286-nucleotide ribosomal RNA is filed under the name Clostridioides difficile. RNAcentral's name for it is "partial 23S ribosomal RNA". It matches the Rfam family "Bacterial large subunit ribosomal RNA", at positions 1361 to 1644 of the family's 2925-position model. Lineage: Bacteria; Bacillati; Bacillota; Clostridia; Peptostreptococcales; Peptostreptococcaceae. The record is from RNAcentral.